RNAcentral lists this ribosomal RNA (650 nucleotides) under uncultured Glomus. Its description in RNAcentral is "SSU rRNA". It matches the Rfam family "Eukaryotic small subunit ribosomal RNA", at positions 624 to 1276 of the family's 1831-position model. The record is from RNAcentral. Lineage: Eukaryota; Fungi; Glomeromycota; Glomeromycetes; Glomerales; Glomeraceae.
AAGCUCGUAGUUGAAUUUCGGGAUUAAUUUAUCGGUCGUGCUUUUGUACGUACUGGUAUUAUUGAUUCCUACCUUCUGACGAACCAUGAUGUCAUUAAUUUGGUGUCUUGGGGAAUCAGGACUGUUACUUUGAAAAAAUUAGAGUGUUUAAAGCAGGCUCACGCUUGAAUACAUUNGCAUGGAAUAACGAAAUAGGACGUUUGAUUCUAUUUUGUUGGUUUCUAGGAUCGACGUAAUGAUUAAUAGGGAUAGUUGGGGGCAUUAGUAUUCAAUUGUCAGAGGUGAAAUUCUUGGAUUUAUUGAAGACUAACUACUGCGAAAGCAUUUGCCAAGGAUGUUUUCAUUAAUCAAGAACGAAAGUUAGGGGAUCGAAGACGAUCAGAUACCGUCGUAGUCUUAACCAUAAACUAUGCCGACUAGGGAUCGGAUGAUGUUAAUUUUUUAAUGACUCAUUCGGCGCCUUACGGGAAACCAAAGUGUUUGGGUUCCGGGGGGAGUAUGGUCGCAAGGCUGAAACUUAAAGGAAUUGACGGAAGGGCACCACCAGGGGUGGAGCCUGCGGCUUAAUUUGACUCAACACGGGGAAACUCACCAGGUCCAGACAUAGUAAGGAUUGACAGAUUGAGAGCUCUUUCUUGAUUCUAUGGGUG